GACGAACGCUGGCGGCGUGCUUAACACAUGCAAGUCGAACGGUAAGGCUCCAGCUUGCUGGAGUACUCGAGUGGCGAACGGGUGAGUAACACGUGGGUAAUCUGCCCUGCACUCUGGGAUAAGCCUGGGAAACUGGGUCUAAUACUGGAUAUGACCUUUCUCCUUAUGGGGUUUGGUGGAAAGUUUUUCGGUGUAGGAUGAGCCCGCGGCCUAUCAGCUUGUUGGUGGGGUGAUGGCCUACCAAGGCGACGACGGGUAGCCGGCCUGAGAGGGUGAUCGGCCACAUUGGGACUGAGAUACGGCCCAGACUCCUACGGGAGGCAGCAGUGGGGAAUAUUGCACAAUGGGCGGAAGCCUGAUGCAGCGACGCCGCGUGAGGGAUGACGGCCUUCGGGUUGUAAACCUCUUUCAGCAGGGACGAAGCGUAAGUGACGGUACCUGCAGAAGAAGCACCGGCUAACUAUGUG
Molecule: ribosomal RNA, 467 nt
Filed under: uncultured bacterium
Lineage: Bacteria
Description: partial 16S ribosomal RNA
Rfam family: Bacterial small subunit ribosomal RNA
Source: RNAcentral